Molecule: non-coding RNA, 73 nt
Organism: Caenorhabditis elegans
Lineage: Eukaryota; Metazoa; Nematoda; Chromadorea; Rhabditida; Rhabditidae
Source: the annotation of a RefSeq genome assembly
GCACCGGUGGCUCAGCUGGGUAGAGGGACGGCUAUGGCUCAGGAGGUCAGGGGUUCGACUCCCUGCUGUGGCU